UUUGGUGGCGAUAGCGAAGAGGUCACACCCGUUCCCAUACCGAACACGGAAGUUAAGCUCUUCAGCGCCGAUGGUAGUUGGGGGGUCUCCCCCUGUGAGAGUAGGACGCCGCCAAGC
RNAcentral lists this ribosomal RNA (117 nucleotides) under Bacillus pumilus. Lineage: Bacteria; Bacillati; Bacillota; Bacilli; Caryophanales; Bacillaceae. The record is from RNAcentral.